Molecule: small nuclear RNA, 19 nt
Filed under: Arabidopsis thaliana (thale cress)
Lineage: Eukaryota; Viridiplantae; Streptophyta; Magnoliopsida; Brassicales; Brassicaceae
Description: snRNA_01629
Source: RNAcentral
GGAGCUUUCCCCGGGCGUC